Molecule: long non-coding RNA, 6871 nt
Filed under: Homo sapiens (human)
Lineage: Eukaryota; Metazoa; Chordata; Mammalia; Primates; Hominidae
Description: HSALNT0123819
Source: RNAcentral
AUUUUGACUAUGCUAAGUACCUUCUAUAAGUGGAAUCAUACAAUAUUUUUUGUGUGUAACUGGCUUACUUCAUCUAGCAUAAUAUCCCUAAGGGUCAUCCAUAUUGUAAUGUCUGAAAAUUUUUUUGUUUUUUAAGGCUGAAUAAUAUUUCAUUGUAUGUAUAUGCCACAUUUGGCUUAUCCAUUUAUUCACUGAUGAACACUGAUUGUUUCCAUAUUGUGUGUGUGUAUGUGUGUGUGUGUGUGUGUGUGUGUGUAUGGUUUUUUUUUGGAGACAGAGUCUCACUCUGUUGCCCAGGCUGGAGUGCAGUGGUGUGAUCUCCAUUCACUGCAACCACCACCUCCUGGGUUCAGGUGAUUCUCCUGCCUCAGCUUCCCGAGUAGCUAGGACUACAGGCAUGUGCCACGAUGCUGGGUUACUUUUUGUUGUUGUUGUUGUUUUGAUGCUCAAGUCAUUUAUUUAAAAUGAGGUGGUAUUUGCAUAUAAUCUAUGCAUAUCCUCUUGUAUACUUUAAAUCAUCUUUAGAUUACUUAUAAUACCCAAUACAAUGUAAAUGCUGUGUAAAUAGUUGUUAUACUGUAUUGUUUAGGGAAUAAUGAUAGAAGAAAAGGUAUGUACAUCUUCAGAACAGACACAAUCAUCAUAGGCCUAACUACAAUGUCCAUGUGUAGCUGGUUGAAUCAACAUGCAGAACCCAUGGAUACAGGCUGGGCGCAGUGGCUCACACCUGUAAUCCCAGCACUUUGGGAGGCUGAGGUGGGUGGAUCACCUGAGCUUAGGAGUUGAGACAGCCUGUCCAACACCAUGAAACCCCCGUCUCUACUAAAAAUACAAAAAUUAGCUGGGCAUGGUGGUGCACUUCUGUAAUCCCAGCUACUCAGGAGGCUGAGGCACAAGAAUUUCUUGAACCCGGAAGGUGGAGGUUGCAGGGAGCUGAAAUUGUGCAACUGCACUCCAGCCUGGGCAACAGAGUGAGACUCCAUCUCAAAAAAAAACAAAAAACAAAAAAACCAUGGAUACAGAGGGCGAGCUAUAUACAAAGAUAUGGAAUUGCUACAUUGUAUAAUAAUUCUAUUUUUAAUUUUUUGAGGAAUUGCUACACUGUUUUCCAUAGUAGCUGCACCAUUUUAAAUUGCCAGCAACAGUGCAUAAGGGUUCCACUUUCUCCAUAUCCUCUCCAACACUUGUUAUUUCUGGCAUCUUAGUUACUUUCUUUUUAAUAGUAACUAAAGGACACUUUUACAUGUAUAGAAUCCUUAGUUGACAGGUUUUUUUUUUUUCUUUUGAGACAGUCUUGCUGUCGCCCAGGCUGGAGUGCAGUGGCGCGAUCUCAGCUCACUGCAACCUCUGCCUCCUGGGUUCAAGUGAUUCUCCUGCCUCAGCCUCCAGAGUAGCUGGGAUUACAGGUGCCUGCCACCACGCCCAGCUAAUUUUUGUGUUUUUAGUAGAGAUGAGGUUUCACCAUGUUGGCCAGGCUGGUCUUGAACUGCUGACCUCAGGUGACCUGCCUGCCUUAGUCUCCCAAAGUGCUGGCAUUACAGGCAUGAGCCACCAUGCCUGGACUGUUUGUUCUUUUCUGUUUGCUCCUCAAAGUAAUUUCAAAUGUACUUUCUUCAAGUUUGUUCAUUCUCUUCUACCUGCUCGAUCCUUCCAUUGACUCUACUGAAUUUUUCAGUUUAGUUAUUGUAUUUUUCAUCUCCAGAAUUUUUGCUUAGGUUCUUUUUAUAAUUUCUAUCUCUUUAUUGAUAUUCUCAUUUUAUUAAUAUAUAAUUUUGCUGAUUUCCUUUAGUUCUUUGUCCAUGCUUUUCUUUAACUAUUCAAGCAUAUUUAAGAUGGUUUUAAGGUCUUUGUCUAGUAAGUCUGAUACCUGUGUCUCUUCAGGAAUAAUUUCUUUAUUUUCUUUUUAUGAGAUGCAGUCUUGCUCUGUGACUCAGGCUGGAGUGCAGUGGUGCAAUCUCAACUCACUGCAACCUCCCGGGUUCAAGUGAUUCUCCUGCCUUAGCCUCUUGAGUAGCUGGGAUUACAGGUGCCCACCACCACACCCAGCUCAUUUUUGUAUUUUUAGUAGAGACGGGGUUUCACCAUGUUGGCCAGGCUGGUCUUGAACUCCUGACCUCAAGUGAUCUGCCUGCCUCGGCCUCCCAAAGUGCUGGGAUUAGAGGCGUGAGCUAGUGCUCCCAGCCUCUCCAGAUAUAAUUUCUGCCACUUCAUUUUCUUCCUUGAAAUAGUCCAUGUUACCUUGGUUUUUUUUUUUUUUUUUUUUUUUGAGACGGAGUCUUGCUCUUUUGCCCAGGCCAGACUGCAGUGGCGCUAUCUCGGCUCACUGCAAGCUCCACCUCCCGGGUUCAUGCCAUUCUCCUGCCUCAGCCUCCAGAGUAGCUGGGACUACAGAAGUCCGCCACCACGCCCGGCUAAUAUUUUGUAUUUGUAGUAGAGAAGGGUUUCACCGUGUUAGCCAGGGUGGUCUUGAUCUCCUGGCCUCGUGAUCCACCUGCCUCAGCCUCCCAAAGUGCUGGGAUUACAGGCGUGAGCCACCGCACCCGGCCUUGUUUUUUUAAAUACAAUUUGUGAUUUUUGUUGUUGGAAAGUAGGCAUUUGAAAAGGCAGCCAUUUCUUUGUCUGCAGAUUGGGUCUGUGCCAGUGAACUCCUUCACUAAUUAGCAGGACAUUUUUUGUGUCUUGGGAUCGGCCUGAGGAGAAAGCAAAAUGUCUUGGUCCAUUUUGUGCUGCUAUUACAGAAUAUUACAGACUGGGUACUUUACAGAGAACAGAAAUGUAUUUCUCACAGUUCUGGAGGCUGGAAAGUCCAAGCAGAAGGUGCCCACAUCUGGUGUGAUAAGGGCUUUCUUGCUGGAUCCUCACAUGGCACAAGGCAGAGGGUACAAAGGGAUGAAAUGUGUGUCCUCACAUGGCAGUAAGCCCUUUAUACAGUGGUAUUAAUCCAUUAAUGAGGGCAGAGCCCUCAUGACCUCCCAUUAGGCCCCACCUCCCAAUACUAUUGUAAUGGGGAUUACAUUUCAACAUAAAUUUUUGGAGAAGAGAAAAACAUUCAAACCAUAGCAUUCUCCCCUAGCUCCCCUAAUCCAUAUCUUUCUCACAUCCAAAAUAUCUUCAUUCCAUCCUAAUAACCCCAAGAAGUCUUAAUUUGUUUCAGCAUCACCCUUAAAAGUCUAAGCUUCAAAGUCUUAUCUAAAUCAUGCUGGGUGAGGUGGCUCACGCCUGUAACUUUGGGAGCACUUUGGGAGGCUGAGGCAGGGGGAUCAUUUGAGGUCAGGAGUUCGAGAAAACCUGGCCAACAUGGAGAAACCCCAUCUCUACUAAAAAUACAAAAAUUAGCCAGGUGUGGUGGUGCAUGCCUUUAGUCCCAGCUACUUGGGAGGCUAAGGGAAGGGAACUGCUUGAACCCAGGAGGUGGAGGUUGCAGUAGUGAGCUGAGAUCACACCACUGUACUCCAGCCUGGGCAACAGAGCAAGACUCCACCUUAAAAAAACAAAGCAAAAGCCUUGUCUGGGAAAUCUGCUGGUCCCCUUAUUAAUUUUCUUUCUUUUUAGAUGGAGUCUCACUCUGUCACCCAGGCUGGAGUGUAGUGGUGUGAUCUCAGCUCACUUCAACCUCCAUCUCCCAGGUUCAAGCCAUUCUCAUGCCUCAGCCUCCUGAGUAGUUGGGACUACAGGCUGCACCACUGCAUCUGGCUAGUUUUGGUAUUUUUGUAGAGACAGGGUUUCACCAUGCUGACCAGGCUGGUCUCAAACUCCUGACCUCAGGUAAGCCACCUGUCUCAGUCUCCAAGUGCUGGAAUUACAGGCAAGAGCCACCACACCUGGCCCCAGACAAGGCUUUUAUUUCGGGGCUUGUGCCCCAGUACAAGGACGCUCCAGCUGACUCUCUGAAAAAAGCCAGUAGGAGUGCUUUUUUUUAAUUAGACAAAGUGUGGGAAUUGACAUCAGGGGUAAGGUUUGCAGGCUGAGCUGGUAGCACAUGAUGGGCAAGGCAUGCAAGUCGGCAUAUCUGGUUGCAAUGGUUAUCUUGGGUAAUGGACAAUUUAGUGGUCUGGCCGGUGACAAAAGGGCUGUAAAUCAAUUACUCAGCAUUUCUUCCUGAGGUGGAACACUCCCCAACCUCACUCUGAUAUUUAGAUUUUCUAAGGCCAGUUCCUGGAAUUUUUUUUUUUCUUUGAGACAGAGUCUCACUCUGUCCCCCAGGCUAGAGUGCAGUGGCACAAUCUUGGCUCACUGCAACCUCUGCUUCUGAAUUCAGUUCAAGCAAUUCUCGUGCCUCAGCCUCCAGAGUAGGUGGGACUACAAACGCAUGCCACCACACUCAGCUAAUUUUUUGUAUUUUUAGUAGAGACGGGAUUUUGCCAUGUUGCCCAGGCUGGUCUCGAACUCCUGAGCUCAGGUGACAGGUGAUCCACCCACCUUGGCCUCCCAAAGUGCUGGGAUUACAGGCACGAGCCACACACCUGGCUUAUUUCCUGGAAUUCUUUAAGUGAAAGGCAUGGUUAAACAUUAUGGCAUCAGUGAGGUAGUGGUGUGGGGUUUUUUGUUGUUGUUUUUUAAUUUUUGUGGGUACAUAGUAGGUGUAUUAUUUAUGGAUUACAUGAGAUGUUUUGAUAGUCAUGCAAUGUGUAAUAAUCACAUCAUAGAAAAUGGGGUAUCCAUCCCUUCAAGCACUUACCCUUUGUGUUAUAAGCAAUCUAGGAUGGGUGCAGUGGCUCAUACCUGUAAUCCCAGCACUUUGGGAGGCCGAGGCAGGUGAAUCACCUUAGGUCAGGAGUUCAAGAUCAGCCUGGCCAACAUGGUGAAACCCCCAUCUCUACUUAAAAAAAAAAAAAAAAAAAUUAGCCAGGUACGGUGGCGCUUGCCUAUAAUCCCAGCUACUCUGGAGCUGAGGAGGGAGAGUUGCUUAGAACCCAGGGGCAGAGGUUGCAGUGAGCCGAGAUCGUGCCACUAUAGUCCAGCCUGGGCAACAGAGUGAGACUUGGUCUCAAAAACAAAAACAAACAAACAAACAAACAAAAUCUAUACUUUUAGUUAUUCUUAUUUUUAAAUUUUAAUUAUUUUGAGACACAGUUUCGCUUUGUCACUAGGGCUGGAGUGUAGUUGCGUAAUCUCAACUCACUGCAACCUCUGCCACCUGGGUUCAAGUGACUCUCCUGCCUCAGCCUUCUGAGUAGCUGGGAUUACAGGCGCACACCACCACACCUGGAUAAUUUUUGUAUUUUUAGUAAAGGUGGGGUUUCACCAUGUUCGCCUGGCUGGUCUCAAACUCCUGACCUCAGGUGAUCCAAAAGCGCUGGGAUUACAGGCAUGAGCGACCAUGCCUGGCCAUUAUUUUUUUAAUUUUUAAUUUUUGUGGGUAGAUAGUAGGUGUAUAUAUUUAUGGGAUACUUUGAUACAGGUAUGCAAUGCAUAAUAAUCACAGGGUAAAGGGGGUAUCCAUCCCCUCAAGCAUUUAUUCUUUGUGUUACAAACAAUGCAAUUAUGCUCUUUAUUUUUAAAUUGAGGCUGGACACGGUAGCUCACCCAUGUAAUUCCAGCACUUUGGGUGGCUAAGGCAAGCGUAUUGCUUGUGCUCAGGAGUUUGAGACCAGCUUGGGCAAUGAGAUAAAACCCCGUCUCUACAAAAAAAUACAAAAAAAUUAGCCUGGUGUGGUGGCACACACCUGUGGUCCCAGCUACUCGGGAGGCUGAGGUGGGAGGAUUGCUUGAGCCCAGGUUGCUUGAGCCCAUGAGCUGAGACUGCACCACUGCACUCCAACCUGGGUGACAGAAUGAGACCUUGUCUCAAAAAAAAAAAAAAAAAAGUACAAUAAAUCUUUGAUUGUAGUCACCCUGUUGUGCUAUCAAAUACUAGAUCUUAUUCCUUCUAUCUAAUUAUAUUGUUGUAUCCAUUAGCCAUCCCCCCCAACCCCCACUACCCUUCCUAGCCUCUGAUAACCAUUCUUCAAAUCUCUACCUCCAUUAAUUAAGUUGUUUUAAUUUUUUUUUAUUUUUUUUUUGAGACAGAGUCUCACUCUGUUACCCAGGCUGGAGUACAGUGGCACGAUCUCAGCUCACUGAAACCUCCGCCUCCCGGGUUCAAGCAAUUCUCCUGCCUCAACCUCCCAAGUAGCUGGGAUACAGUUGCCUGCCACCACACCCAGCUACUUUUUGCAUUUUUAGUAGAAAUGGGGUUUCACCAUGUUGGCCAGGCUGGUCUUGAAUUCCUGACCUCAUGAUCCACCCUCCUUGGCCUCCCAAAGUGCUGGGAUUACAGGCGUGAGCCACUGAGCCUGGCCAAUUUUUAUUUCUGAAACAUUUAUUAUUAAUGUGAUGGGAAAAUUACACAGAAUAUAUGUUCAUUUCUUAUAAAGUUAAGUCUUCCAGAACCUGGUUUAACAAAAAACUGAGGUUAAAUUCAGGUCUCAAAUAUAGAAACUUAAACUUUUCUUGAAAUCCAAUUAAAAAUGUAGAUCUAGGCUGGGCGAGGUGGCUCACGCCUGUAAUCCCAGCACUUUGGGAGGCUGAGGUGGGCAAGGUCAGGAGAUUGAGACCAUCCUGGCUAACACGGUGAAACCCUGUCUCUACUAAAAAAUACAAAAAAUUAGCCCAGCUACUCGGGAGGCAGAGGAAGGCGAAUGGCAUGAACCCAGGAGGCGGAGCUUGCAGUGAGCCUAGAUGGCGCCACUGCACUCCAGCCUGGGUGACAGAGCGAGACUCCGUCUCAAAAAAAAAAAAAAAAAAAAAAAGUAGAUCUAAAUAGAGUCAGUCUUUUAAGAAAAAAAUCACACAUUUUAGCCUCAGUCAGAUUUCACUUUAUUUGUAUCGAUGACAAUAUUAACUCUUCAGAUUUAUAAAAUGACAAAACUUGAUAAUUACCUGGAAACAA